GAUCGGUGCAGUCAGUCUUAAAGGGACAGCAUCCAAAUGUACCUGCUGUCAUUAUUAAUGCAAAUCAAACAACAAAAAAGAGAAAAUCUCUCCCUGCUUGCUUUUGUAACUUUAAUAAGAAUAAAUGUAUAUUUAACUAACACAGUAAAGGCUAUGCAUUGUUUUUAUACAUUUUAAUACUUUAUACAUUUUAUGCAGUAUUUCUAGUGCUUGAAGUUUUUCAUGUCGGUCUAUUUUGUCUGUUUCUUAGUUCUAUUGUAGUUUUUCUUUGCUCUUUCUUUAUCACCGUUUACUUGUCUUCAGUAAGCUUGAGAGUUUUUUUUUUUUUUUAGGCUAGUAUUUUUUUUUUUUUUUAAUUAUAUUGAAAAUGUAUUAUGCUGUAAUGUUACUCUUUUGAUUACAGUCAACUUUUUUCUCAUAAAAGAUGUUUCAUAUUUCUCCACUGUAGGCACUGGUGCUGUAAAGUCUCACAAGAGCUUCAAUCAAAGCCCAGAGAUGACAGAGACGACUCAGAACUCCCAUCCAAGAAACGGGCCAGUACAGUAAAAAAAUCUUUUAUUGAGGCACAAUCUCUCAAUUGAGGAAACUAUUUGUUUUCUCAGUCUAGCUGAGCUGUGGCUGUGCCACCUAAACAAGUCACAAUCUGACCCAGCAUACUCCUGUUCAGCUCGUCAGAAAGCAUAAGAACCUGCCUGGUCUGCUCCUCUCGAGUCAGAGUGCUCAGACUAGGCGAAGGACAUUCUCAGUGUAGCUGAGCUGUGGCUGUGCCACCUAAACAGGUCACAAUCUGACCCAGCAUACUCCUGUUCAGCUCGUCAGAGAGCACAAGAACCUGCCUGGUCUGCUCUUCUUCUGUGAGAGAGCUCGGAGAGUCCUUCUAGCGCAUGUUUACAUAGAAAAACAAUGAAAAAGUAGCGCAUUUGGUGAGGCACAUUCUCAGUGCAGCUGAGCUGUGGCUGUGCCACCUAAACAGGUCACAAUCUGACCCAGCAUACUCCUGUUCAGCUCGUCAGAGAGCACAAGAACCUGCCUGGUCUGCUCUUCUUCUGUGAGAGAGCUCGGAGAGUCCUUCUAGCGCAUGUUUACAUAGAAAAACAAUGAAAAAGUAGCGCAUUUGGUGAGGCACAUUCUCAGUGCAGCUGAGCUGUGGCUGUGCCACCUAAACAGGUCACAAUCUGACCCAGCAUACUCCUGUUCAGCUCGUCAGAGAGCACAAGAACCUGCCUGGUCUGCUCUUCUUCUGUGAGAGAGCUCGGAGAGUCCUUCUAGCGCAUGUUUACAUAGAAAAACAAUGAAAAAGUAGCGCAUUGGAAUGGUGAGGCACAUUCUCAGUGCAGCUGAGCUGUGGCUGUGCCACCUAAACAGGUCACAAUCUGACCCAGCAUACUCCUGUUCAGCUCGUCAGAAAGCACAAGAACCUGCCUGGUCUGCUCUUCUUCAGUCAGAGAGCUCAGAGAGGGUGCAGUCUGCAUCUCAUCUACCAAAUCCAAACACAGACAAGAUUAGCAGCUCCGUUUGCAAAUAAUUAUGAAUGCGUUUAGCAAAAACAUGUUCAUAUUGAUACACCUCGUAGAUUCUCACGCACACUGCCAGUGCUAGAGCCCUCUUGGGUCAUCAAGAUUGUUCGGUCUUAUGUUGACAGCAUGAAUGCAGAUUUGUUGGGCUGCUCGCUUUCUUGAUCAUAGCUAUGGCAAUAGGAGUGGCCGUGCCGUCUCUCGUUUUCCAUCCGAGGCUAUCCUGGUUUAUCUGGAAGUAGCGUAUUCAUAAGCAUGGAAGUGUCCACACUCUGGUGUGUCUCUGGGCCGUGGCUUUGCUGAUAGCCUCAGCGUCUGCUGCUCUGGAGAAGAGGUGGAUUUGUUUAGUGUUGUGGACGCUGCUGCCUUUGCUGACUUCCUCUGUGCAGAAAAAUGUGUUCAUUCCAUCUUCAGUGGUCCUCAGAUUUAUGGCUACCCUCUCCCUGCUCCUUCAGCCUCGGACAUCUGCAUCAGGAGCCCAGCUCGUCUCUCUGGACAAUGGCUUUGCUGAAUGCCUCAGGCAGCGUUAAGUGUUGUGGACGCUGCUGCCUUCGCUGACUUCCUCUGUGCAGAAAAAUGUGUUCAUUCCAUCUUCAGUGGUCCUCAGAUUUAUGGCUACCCUCUCCACUGCCUGCAUCCUCCAGCCUCGGACAUCUGCAUCAGGAGCCCAGCUCGUCUCUCUGGACAAUGGCUUUGCUGAAUGCCUCAGGCAGCGUUAAGUGUUGUGGACGCUGCUGCCUUCGCUGACUUCCUCUGUGCAGAAAAAUGCGUUCAUUUCAUCUUCAGUGGUCCUCAGAUUUAUGGCUACCCUCUCCACUGCCUGCUCCUCCAGCCUCGGACAUCUGCAUCAGGAGCCCAGCUCGUCUCUCUGGACAAUGGCUUUGCUGAUAGCCUCAGCGUCUGCUGCUCUGGAGAAGAGCUGGAUUUGUUUAGUGUUGUGGACGCUGCUGCCUUUGUGCAGAAAAAUGUGUUCAUUCCAUCUUCAGUGGUCCUCAGAUUUAUGGCUACCCUCUCCCUGCUCCUUCAGCCUCAGACAUCUGCAUCAGGAGCCCAGCUCGUCUCUCUGGACAAUGGCUUUGCUGAAUGCCUCAGGCAGCGUUAAGUGUUGUGGACGCUGCUGCCUUCGCUGACUUCCUCUGUGCAGAAAAAUGUGUUCAUUCCAUCUUCAGUGGUCCUCAGAUUUAUGGCUACCCUCUCCACUGCCUGCAUCCUCCAGCCUCGGACAUCUGCAUCAGGAGCCCAGCUCGUCUCUCUGGACAAUGGCUUUGCUGAAUGCCUCAGGCAGCGUUAAGUGUUGUGGACGCUGCUGCCUUCGCUGACUUCCUCUGUGCAGAAAAAUGCGUUCAUUUCAUCUUCAGUGGUCCUCAGAUUUAUGGCUACCCUCUCCACUGCCUGCUCCUCCAGCCUCGGACAUCUGCAUCAGGAGCCCAGCUCGUCUCUCUGGACAAUGGCUUUGCUGAUAGCCUCAGCGUCUGCUGCUCUGGAGAAGAGCUGGAUUUGUUUAGUGUUGUGGACGCUGCUGCCUUUGUGCAGAAAAAUGUGUUCAUUCCAUCUUCAGUGGUCCUCAGAUUUAUGGCUACCCUCUCCCUGCUCCUUCAGCCUCGGACAUCUGCAUCAGGAGCCCAGCUCGUCUCUCUGGACAAUGGCUUUGCUGAAUGCCUCAGGCAGCGUUAAGUGUUGUGGACGCUGCUGCCUUCGCUGACUUCGUGCUGGUUGUCUGCAAGCAUAUGGUCUCCCUGGGCAACGGGCUUUUCUUCCUCCAGUUCCAUUCCAGUCUGAAUGUGGCAGUUUCCUUACUGGACAAAAACCCAUCAACAGAUAAUAGACUCCGGGGCAAAUCCGCCUUCAAGUCACCAGCUCUGCUGUACACUCAGAUUCAGUUCGGCAAUGCACACAGAAUAUGCCCCGUCGUCACUGAAUCAUUCUCCUCACCGUGGAAAAGCUGGAGCCGACAGGUCGGUGAAGACUGAACACGCUUACAGCUCAUUCAAGUGCCACCAGUGUGUUUUUGGAGUAUUUCAUCUUUUUAUUUCACCUUUACCGAACGUCUGAGUAAAGAUGUUCCACUUAAUCGAGCUCUUGAUCAAUAAAAUGGUAGCAGUGGUGCCACAAACCUGGUGUAGAGAUGGAGUUCUCUGUUGGCCAAACUACAAUGAUGAAAGAGUAAACAGGGCAGUGAAAAAUUCAGAGGAGCCUGGACCUGACUGGAAAACAUAUGAUGUCAGAGUUAUUGAAACAUGUGGUAUGCAAUUUUUUUUUUUUUUUUUUUUAAAGUCAAAAUGACUAUUGUAAGCAAAUAUAAAAAUAUUUUGCCCUUAUGUAAUUGAAAAAAAAAAAAUCCUUUUAAUCGGUCUCAUACUGUUCUGUUGUCUGUAAUUAUAUUCUUUUUUGCUCUGAUCAUUUGAAACAAACUGAUUUGUCUUGGACCGGAGCAGAAAUGUGCCAGGUACCUGAACAUCGGUGCUAUGGGCUCUGUCCCUGAUGAGCCAGGAGGCUUGUGGGCUUAUAUUUAUGCCAAUCAUUUUAUUUAUUUAUUAUUCUUUAUUGUAUAUAGUUAUUACAGCCUCAGGCUUGUUUGUUGCCAGUCCGACAGCAUCACAUGUGGAGGACAACACCAAGCCGAUCGAUCAUGAGGUGGUCUGUCUAUCUGCUUGCAUCACGAGGGCUAGGGUACACAAGGUGAAUGCAGCGGCACCGGCAUGAGUAAAGAAGUGCAUAUGCUACUUCCAGAUCAACCAGGUAGCCCCGGAUGGAGAACUGUGACACGCUGGCUUCCUACACGCGGGUCUCGCUCUGCUCGGGCCCGAGGCUCAUAUCAUCAUCAUCAUCAUCAUCAUUAUUAACACAAGAUUUUCUUUACAGACUCUCCUCUUGCCAGGACGAUGAUCAAGAGAGCGGUCAGACCAACAGAUUGGCAACAUACCAGACCGGGCAAUCUGGACUUGCCAAUCCCAGGUGAUCCAAGAGGGCUCAACGAGAUGUGCUCCAGGCUGCACCCAAUCUGCCUGAAGAAGAGCAGACCAGGCCGGUUCUGGCGCUCUCAGAGGAGCUGAACAGGGGUGUUCUGUGUCAGAUUGUGACCUGUUUGAGUGGCACAGCUCCACACCAUAGGACAUGUAGGACAGAUAUGCUGUCUGGGCAACCAGACAGUCACUCUGGAGGAAGCGAAGGCGGCAGCUUCUGCUCACGCUCCGUGGGGUAUUUAGCAAAGCCAUAGUACAGAGGGGCUUCUUUCUCCAGUGGAGAGAGAAGCCCUAGAAGAGCAGCACACUGCGUUUGUUUUAUUUAGGUUGCUGUUGCUUUGGUUUUGUUGUGUGUAUAUAGUUGGUUUCACGUUGUUUUAUGCUUUCAUGUAACUUUUAAUCUUGUUAAUUUCUAGUUUUCCCCAUGUUUCCUAAGAGUUUUUAUUGUUAUUUGGUUGUUAAUUAGUAUUUAUUGAUUUUGUGUGUUCUUGUUUGUUCAAUAGUUUACUUUCUUUUAUUGUUCAUGUUUUGUUAUGCUGUGCUUUGUAUAUAGUUCUUUUUUUAAAAUAAUAAAUAAUCUCCCUUAACCCAUUGCUUAAUUUCAUUCUUUUCUUUUUAGUACCAAUACUUUUUUUUAUUCAGUAUAAAUAUUAAAACAUGUGAUCAUGGGAACAAAAGUCAAAUUUUUAGACUCAUAAAUGCUUUGAUCUGAAAUGUUAUGCUUCGACGGGCUCAUGAAGACACAGAACCCCUGCUAUUGUCCACUAAUAUGGACAAAAUGCAUUAUUAAUCAU
Long non-coding RNA from Ctenopharyngodon idella (grass carp), 5271 nucleotides. RefSeq lists it as uncharacterized. NCBI's taxonomy places the organism in Eukaryota, Metazoa, Chordata, Actinopteri, Cypriniformes, Xenocyprididae. The record is from RefSeq and is a predicted model, not a curated record. The transcript is spliced from 8 exons.